Molecule: long non-coding RNA, 5406 nt
Organism: Corvus hawaiiensis (hawaiian crow)
Lineage: Eukaryota; Metazoa; Chordata; Aves; Passeriformes; Corvidae
Exons: 5
Source: RefSeq, a predicted model, not a curated record
CCUUUUUUUCCUAUUCUCCUCCCCACCCCGCUGGGGGAUGCGUGUGUGUGAGCAAGUGGCUGCAUGGUACUAGUUGCCAGCUGGAGUUAAACCAUGUAAUGGAACAAGAUUCCCAUGUCAAGAUAAGGUGAACUGUGCCCUGAACAUGCCUACUCCCCUCCUUGGAGUAUAAAAAGGAUCUGGAGAACAGCUUCAUUUGAGUUAGGCUCACUUGAAAUGGAGAGCUUCAUCUAAAGCAGAAGCAUUUUCUUGUGAAGGGACUCCAGCAUAAAACACCUUGCGGGAGGAAUGAAGGACCACUGCAGAGCUACGAGGUGGAAAAGGAUUUGGCUAGAGAAGAGAAGAGAAGACAGUUGGCUAUACUGGGGAUAUGCUGGAAGGGAAUUUCACCCCUGGAAUACCUCAAGAACAUUUCUAUUUUUAAUAAAUAGCUGGAUGCAAAAUAUAGCAGCAUCAGCAAUAAAGAGAAGGACUGGACUAUUCAGGAAGAUAUGAUGGCAUUUAUAAACAUGAUGGAAAUGGUUUGUAAUUGUGCAAAAUGUUCUUAAAAGUGAAUCGGAAGCAUGUCUGCUUGAAGCCAGAAAUUCAUUACAUAGAAAUGCAAAAGGGGGGAAAAAAGUACCUCCUUCCCUUACUCACCACACUCUGACCAUGAGACUCCAAAGUUAUAGGGUUGCCAAGUAGGCAAAUGCAAUUCCAGUUUAUAUCAAAUGAGCUGUUUCCAGUAGAGAAAGGAAAACAGGAAUGCUGUGCUCUGCCAUGCACUGGGACUUCCUGUGGAAUUCUAUGAACAAAACCUGCAGAAAUGGAGGCUAUCACAAGUGACUAAAAUAAGGUCUAAAGACCCAAGAAAAGAGCAUGAGACCUUGCAGAAGGGAUUAAAGCAACAUCUGAAGGCUUUGCUGAAAGGCUUAGGAGAUGGCCUGAGACUGGAGGUAAAAUUUUUUAGGGGCAGCAGAAGCUGGAACAAGUUCAAAUUAAAUGAAUAAGGAACCAGUAACCAGAUGGCUGAGGACCAGCAGCUUUUCCGGGGACAGGGGAGGCCAAGGAAUCUUUGGCAAGCUUGGAGGUUACUAACUGAGCAGGACAGCAGUGAGGAUUAAAAAAGCUAAAAAUACCAACAGCACAAGGAAAUCAGAAAGUUGCAAAAGUCAGAAACCUGAUGUAGAAUUAAGGCUGUCAGAGGAUUCUACUGCCUAGCUUUAUAACACUGUCACAACUGCAGAAACAGGAAAGAAAGAAGUCAAACAAACUGUACCAAUAUGUAAGAAAUCGGGUCAGUGAAUGAUCUGAGAAGGCAUGCCCAGAACCCUUGUGUCAGAGAAGAUGGACAGCAACAGCGUUUCCCAGGAACCAAAUAGGUCUGAAACAUUACCUGCAGCAAAAAAAAAAAUCUUAGUUUCCAAACUGGGGCACACGUUCCAAAGCCAGAAACCAUCCCAGUAGACUGGGGCUCACUGGGAUCUCAGGGGAAAGAAGGGGAGAAUCUACCCAAGCUAAGAAGAACCUGAGGAACCUUCCCUCCUGGCACACCUCCAGCAAAGGCUGCCAAGAUGCUUUGGCAAUGGACCAGUUUAGAGGGACUCAGCUGGACUUGGCCUGGCCUGCAAAGACCAGAGAAAGGAGGCCAGAGCCGUUCUGAGAGGUGCUGGAAUUUGUCACGGGGCUCAGCUGCAGCUGUGUGCUGAAAGGGAACAUUGCUGCAGGGCAGAGAGAGAGGAGCUCAGUGCUGCAGACACAGUACGCAGGCUCUGAAUAGCUGGAAGACGGUGAGAUAUCAAUUCAUGUAAGACAGUCCCAGACAUUCACAAACCCGUGCUGCUCGGAAAGGCUUGGCCAAGCUGCUGAAAAAUUGACAGGUUCCUGUUGAAUAAUUAAGUCCUCUCUUUCAAACACUUCAAUUAAUACAGUGCAGAAAGCUGAUUCGUUCAGAUGUUCAUGUCAGCUCCUGCAUCACUGCUUCAAUCCUGGUCACAUGUGUAUGGAGGGAAGAACUCCUGCUUCUGGAGGGUGUCCUCCACUGGCCUAUCCCAGAGGGGCUGCAACACAAGGAGUGAAACUUGACAGGUGUACAAGCGGAUCCAAUGUCUGUCAAAGCCCAGCCAUUUUCCCUUAUGCCAUGUUUUAGGCUUGUGCUUUGGGAACUUGAUAAAAUUCAAUGGAGAUAUACGAGUAGCAGGAAACAAUCUGUGCAAAAAUGAAGAACAGUUUUGGAUUGCUUCCUGCUGGAGAAGAGACUGGGAUGAUACCACACUGACCCCAGGGUAACUAAGAGCAAAACUUGGCUCUCUGGGUAUCUCUGAGCAUGGACAGUCAUCCACACUGCAGUGAGCUAUAAAAAGAAUAUAGCUUUCAUAUUAUUUGUGUUGAUCAAGAAGUUACUUGUGGUAAUUUUGCUGUUAUGCUGCUUCUAAUCUUUCUGCUGGGUUUUGAAUAUUAUCUUCAGAUUUUUUUUUCAUACUUUAUUUUUCUAUACAUUAGCUAUUUCUUUGGUGUCAUCCUGUUUUACUGACAUGAAAAAUGAAAGCUCUUCUUUCAUUUCAUAACAAACAGCACAAUUAAGACUUAAUUAGAUGCGUAUGAGUAAGGAAAUGGCAAUGCCACACAGGACCUUAAAUGUGGUAUCGUUCAGUUGCUCAAGUGCAGAAUCCUGGGAAAAAAAAUCCAGACAAAAAUAUUCCCAUCAACUUACUUCUAGCUGUACCUUUACAGGCUGGCAUGAUUGCCACUGGCAAUUAUUGUUUUUCUAGUCAUUAUUCUAAAAAUACAAUGUACCUAUUUUUUUUCCCUUUCCACAAUAAAAACUCUGACAGGUGCAUGGAAAUGAAAUUUCUCCAUGCAUUGGAUUCAUAGAGAGGAUUAUAUGAAAACGUUUAAGGUCUAAGCAAAGAUCAUAUGGCACUACAUAGGAUUUCUGAAGUUAUUAUGCUGUUAUAUGCCUACAGAAAAAAAGCAUACAAAGAUGUGAGGUAGUUUUCUCUCUUCAGAAUUGUGCUGGUGCUAAAUAGGGAAGAGGGUUAGUUGAUGGAUGGCCUGUCUCGGUGUCCUCUCUGUACCUGUUUGGAAAUGGAAAAAUUACUGCUGGCUUUCUGGCUUACCACCACAGGUCACCUCUGUGCCUUCCGAUACCCCAACCCCGGGGACAGGACGGUGUCCAGGGCUCCUCCAUCCAGCUUGUUCCAGCUGAAGGUGGCUUGAAUAUCCACCAGAGGCUACAACAAUAGACUUCAGGAGCAGGUGGAUAUGGAAAAAGGGUCCUGGGCAGGUCUCUGUGGACAGUAAUAAUCAGAAAAAUAACCACUGAUCCUUUGAAGAUGUUAAGUGCAGGUCCAGCCUCUCUCCAAGUGAAUAGCUAGCAAAAAGGAGGAGUUCUGUGUACUCGGUGUCAUCUAACCCUAAACCUUAGGUGAGGAGGUUCGUGAUUCUCCAAAAUGAGAAUGAGGUGAUUUGGCUUAGGUGAGCUAAGAGUCUGUUUCACAAUUUGCCAUACAAUUGCCCAAGACAAACACAUUGCAGUUGAGUUGGACAGCCUGGCACAAUAGACCUAGUCACAGCUCUUUGGAAAACUGUGAUGCUAUUAGUGUUUCCUUGUUUCUUUUGGCAAUUCAGGGAACAAACCAACUUGCAGAUCAUUCCUAAAAAAGGCAUUCUGUAAGAGGCACUGAUACACAUUUUCUCUAAGUCUGACAUUGAUGAAGUUAUAGUUGGCGAUAGCAGUUUCUUGUACUUACCCAGAGAAUGAUGCUCCUGAGUGUGUCUUCACUUUUCAAGCAUCUGAUCUCCCCUGACUUCCAAGUAGCUGAUGCAACAUUAUUGCUCCUGAAAGCUCCAGGCAGGAUUUGGCAUCUGAUUUGCAAAGACACUGAUAAAUUUUGCGAGUUUCUGAAUUAAGGGCCGAAAUGAUUGUGAAUCAAUUUGCUUUUUGUUUUCCUGACUUUUGAGUCCUUUUGCUCAUUCUUCAUGGUUUAGUGCAGAUGUGACUCUAUCUUCUUGCCCUAAGUGAGAAGGUUUUCAUAUUCUUUGCUACCCACAUAGAAAAAUAAUGCUCCAAAUGGACAGUGCUAGCAGGCACAGUGGCUCAGGCUGGCCAGAAAAAGUGCAGCUAGACAAGUGUUUGCCAAUCACUUUUAAACGAAGCUCACAUAAUCUUUUGAAAAUAAGUAUUGGCUCAGACCAAUUCUAUGGUAUUGCCAGGGCAGUUCUGACUUGCAACUAACCAAAAAUGCCUCAACAUUGCAUAAAUAAACUGACAGUUUAUUUAACAUAUUUAUUUCCUCAUAAGUUCAUUGUCAAGGGUAUGACGAAGAUGUGUGUGUGCUCUUUAUAAAUUACAUAUGUGCUACUGUUUCCUGGACCACGUUCUGAUGCUCUGUGGAAUCUGGAAAACAGUCAUUUAAUUGGGUGACCCACAGUUAGGCUUUGACAUCCGCCACAACCAGCACAUGAAGGAGCCAACAAUGGCCCCAUGAAUUAAAAGGAACAUGCAGGACUGUGAUGGAGACGGGGAAGAAAGCUUUCUGUGAGCGGGGAAUAAAUAUAAUACACUGAUCUUGUGUUCAUGUUGAGCUUUGUCACUUUUGCAAUGAAAUUAGUCAAGAUUAAAAAAGCUUUCCAUUUCCACAAUGCCAGAAACACCUCUCUGUGGACAACCCUCACACCUCCCUGUUCUUGCCAGCCCCUAUUUCAGAUGAUGGGUAGUCUGCCUUCUGUGCAGCAGUUUUGGCUUAGCAGGCAGAGACCUUUUUUCCAUUUCUUCCUGCCCUCUGAGCUGCUGCCUGCCCCAGUCUCCCUUACGGAGGCCCUUGCACUCCCCAAGCACCCAGCCUUCCAGUCACCCCUGUCUUCUUUCACUCUUAGUCAUCGCUUAAUUUUCUGGCACUGCCUUGACAUGGGUCUGUUUCUCUUUUUUCAGGCCUCUGGUGUAAAGGUUUUAUCCAAGCCAUCCUUCAAAGAUAACAAGAAAACUUGAAAAAAGAGUUUGUUUUUCAGCUCACAGUGGCAUAACUCAGGAGAAAGACCACUGAAGGAAACAGAGAGACAGACAAUCAGAGGGGAAAACCAGGCUCACAGCUUCAAACUGUUCAUUUUUUCUGGCUCACGCUGCCAUUUCCUCAGAUCCAGCAAGAUGGCAUAGGAAAUCAAUACUCAUUUGCUGUGUUGUGUUUCUGCACUUUAAAGAGAAGGGGACCACGCCUUCUUCAAGCCCUGGUUCUGAACCACCGCUGAAAAAGUUAGUGACUUUCUAUUAUUUGCUUUGUAGUGUCAUGUUUAUUACUGAUAAAAAGGAGAAGCACUUAGUGACCAGACAUCUUCUUUAUAGGUCUGCAGCAACUGGUUCCACCUCAGAGAUCUCACCUGAAACUCCUGAGCUUUUUUUUUCUUUAUUCUCCCCCCUCCCCUUUUUAU